UCUUCAUUAGUAGAGUGUUGAGUAUCCCUGUCUAUCACGUGGGAGACCAGGGUUCGAUUUCCUGAUGGGGAA
RNAcentral lists this transfer RNA (72 nucleotides) under Felis catus (domestic cat). It matches the Rfam family "tRNA". Rfam says of the family: Transfer RNA (tRNA) molecules are approximately 80 nucleotides in length. Their secondary structure includes four short double-helical elements and three loops (D, anti-codon, and T loops). Lineage: Eukaryota; Metazoa; Chordata; Mammalia; Carnivora; Felidae. RNAcentral also lists the same sequence under 2 other names. The record is from Rfam by way of RNAcentral.